GCCAACGGCCAAAUCAUAUUGAAUUGUUCUAGUCCGAUCACCCAACUUAAGAAACAUCGGACGUGGGUAGCACCUUGUUGGGUGACCACCUAGGAACUCCGCGUGCUUGUUGGCU
RNAcentral lists this ribosomal RNA (115 nucleotides) under Rhodnius prolixus. Lineage: Eukaryota; Metazoa; Arthropoda; Insecta; Hemiptera; Reduviidae. The record is from RNAcentral.